UCCACAUGCCAAAGAAGCCCAUUAUAAUUUGAAAACCAGAAGUAACAAUAAGAGCUCCCUAUAUGCCUCACAUUGUAUGCAUAAACCUCUGCAAAUAUCAGUCGCAAGAACAAAUUCAAGAAACAUCAAAUGAAUGGACAACCCCUCCCCCCACCCAAAAAAGGAAAACAACUCAAAGUCCCAACAGAGGCAGAUGAACGAAUAUUUUUGACACAGAGCAUUUCAACAAAUAUUCAAUUCUGACCAUAAUUCUAUAGUCUAUGUUGCAGACUUACCAAAAUGCUACCGCACCCUUGUCGGUGUCAGAUCCUCAAAAAAUGCACUACUUUUGUCAAUUCUAAAGCUAAAUGGCAUAUAAACUAGUUUAUAUAUUGAAAUUUCAUAAUUAUAAAUUAAAAAACCAAUAUAAUUGCUAUGAAAUCAUCUAUCUCAAGAAGCAAUGAGGUUUGCGGACAACUUUGACUCACAAGGAGAGAAAGGAAAGCUACAACUGAUACACAGCUGAAGUAGGAGAAAAUCUGAGAAUAUUAUCGAUUAUAAUGAUUAAAUCCAUAUGGAGGAGAGAAAGCUAGAGGAGCAGACAAUUGCAGUUUACACAAAAUAUCAUCGGAAGAGAACAUGGUGAUUACACUUUUUACUAACUAUAUUUUCUUUUUUACAGGGCAAGUUACUGUACUUAUGCCCUAUACAUUGGUGGAUUUUCAGCUGGUGGAAUUAGUGCUAUGCACUCACUCCACUAAAAAGGAAGCCAAAGAUAGGCAUAAGCAUAGAAACAAUAAGGAGUACUAUGCUGCCCAAAUUUACAGUGAUAGGCGGACUAUAACAGAAGUAUAUGAUAUGAUUGGACUGGAAAAUCAAAUUGAGAUUAACAUCUCAAACUCACAGGAAAUACUCCAACAAAGAUCUAGCAUAAAACUACAUUGGGGCUCACAUAUAUCAACCCUUAAAAUAGGCAGAUUUGCAUAUGUACACAGUUGGUAUAGAACUACAGGACAUGACUUUUGGUGGAUCAUUUCAAGGUUCAAAAUGGUUUAUAUUAAACAUGUUGGUGGAAUUGGUGCAAUAUUAUAUCAAAAUCAUUGGAACAGAACAACUAAUCAUACAUGGAUAGAAUCUAAGGGUGUUUACUCAACGCAUCAUCAUGUUCACAUCCAUAUAGAGGAGAGCAUGGUGACAAAGAUUUUCACUAACACUGUGUUCUUUUUUGCAGGGAAAGAUACUGUGUCUAUGCCCUGAACUUAGAUGGAAUUACAGUUGGUGGUAUUAGUUAUAUACACUCAUUCCACGGGAAUGAAGUUAUAGUUAAGCACAAACAUAAAAGAAAGGAUGAGUACUAUGCUGCCCAGAAUUUAUAUACUAAACAAGUACUUUUGGCAAGCUAAAACAAGAGCAAAUGAGGUGUUUGGAACGGACUACCUAAUGCAAGUUAACACCUCAAAUGCACAGGAAUGAAUCAUCUAAGUUUAGGCAUCGAACAGUAAUGAGUCAUUUGUAUAGAUAUCUUCAAAAUGGACUGGGUCAAUUAUGUCUAUAGAUGAUGCAAAGAUGAAGCUAGUACUUAGAUGAGCAGUUGUUCAUUUUUGUAAAUUGGUUUAAUGUACAAGGAGACUUCAAAAACACAUACAUGGAUACAGGCAAGGUCAGGGCAGACCAGUUUUGGAAUAUUUGAAAUAACAUAAGCAACUGGAGAAACAAAAACUUAGAACACAUAGGAAAACUGCAAUCUAGACAUUGGAGCAUUGUGUUUUGGUGCUGGGAUAGUUACAGGAGAAUACUGUUUGAUUUUUAUUUCUACAAUAUCUACAGAAUGAAAAUUUCAUUGGACAAGAAAUAUAGACCAAACAAAUACUGAGAACUAUUUGGGCAAAAAAAUGGUCUAAUCUCUUUGUGGCUAGCCAUGUAAUAGGCUAGUUUUUAUACAUGUUUUACAAAUUAAGUUUCAUAUGCAUAUUUUUCAAUCAGAAAUAUAUCUAAGCGGUACUCUAUAUAUUUAUAUUCGUUAUCUAAGAACUUAACAAAGUUCAAUCUAAUAUAUGAAUAGCCGAGGGCCUGUUUUACGCCAUUUAAAGGUCAUUCUUAAAGUAACAAAGGGCGUCUAUACUUAUUAAAGGAUCCAAAAAUCUGUCCAUUCUAUAUACAUUGUUUCAUACAGGACAAGAAUCCUAUGUACAAGAACAUUAACCGUGGCAGCUAUAUGAGUUUCUUUCCCAAAAAUUGGUUUAUAACAUAGGAAAAAUUUUGAUAUAAAGAUAAGCGGCCUAAACAAACUUCCUAAAUCAGGAUUUUCUACAUUCAAAUAGAACAGCCAUAUAGCAUGACUUUUACCAAAUUAAAUUACACAUGAUCUAUUGUAAAUUAAUCGACAAGCAUCAAUCCAAAAUCUACUACAUAUCGAUUGCAAACACUGAUUUAACCGUGGAAGAAGAUGGACAGGCACUACAACAGCAGUUAACGCAAUAGCGAGUUAGGAACUGAUUUACUAUAAAUUAAUCAACCAGCAUCAGUACAAAAUCUACUGUAAAUCGUAGACGGGCCUGCCUCGCUGCGGGUCAGCAUCUCGGGCUCUCUUUCUGCUUUCUGUCUGUCUACAAGGAACUAAGUUACUGUAAAUCGAUUGGAAUAAGAGAAUUUAACACUGCCAUUAACAUACUGUAAAUCGAUUUGAACCGAUCUACUGUAAAAUCAAAGAGAUGAGAAUUUACCUGGGCCGAAGAUGGGAACUAUCAUUGAUGCACUGUAAAUCGCACAGGCAUUGUCACACUGGCGUAGACAUAACAGCGAGUUAGGGCUUUUCGGCAGCGAAGUCGAUUCAACUGGGGAGGGAAACGAUAUAAUGUUUUCGUUCUAUUAUUUUCUAAUUGGGGUGGGAAACCAUAUAAGAUAUCAAGAAAAUGGAGGGAAAGAUUUUCUCUUCUUUGUGCGG
RNAcentral lists this long non-coding RNA (2923 nucleotides) under Nicotiana benthamiana. RNAcentral's name for it is "long non-coding RNA (NBEN_LNC017322)". Lineage: Eukaryota; Viridiplantae; Streptophyta; Magnoliopsida; Solanales; Solanaceae. The record is from RNAcentral.